AAAUGUGAUAAGUAGUGUGAAUUGCAGAAUUUAGCGAAUCAUCGAAUCUUUGAACGCACAUUGCGCCCCUUGGUAUUCCAUGGGGCAUGCCUGUUCGAGCGUCAUUUCAACCCUCAAGCACUGCUUGGUGUUGGGCGUUUGUCCCGCCUACGCGCGUGGACUCGCCUCAAAGUCAUUGGCAGCUGUUCCCCUUCGGCUCGUAAGCGCAGCACAGUCGGCGCCCGGAGCUCUGGUGGGAUGGCGUCCAGCAAGCUAUAUUUUCAGGCUUGACCUCGGAUCAGGUAGGGAUACCCGCUGAACUUAAGC
This 306-nucleotide unclassified non-coding RNA is filed under the name plant metagenome. Its description in RNAcentral is "partial contains 5.8S ribosomal RNA, internal transcribed spacer 2, and large subunit ribosomal RNA". The stretch from base 1 to 104 matches the Rfam family "5.8S ribosomal RNA", at positions 51 to 154 of the family's 154-position model. The record is from RNAcentral.